RNAcentral lists this ribosomal RNA (232 nucleotides) under uncultured Pseudomonadales bacterium. Its description in RNAcentral is "partial 16S ribosomal RNA". It matches the Rfam family "Bacterial small subunit ribosomal RNA", at positions 99 to 334 of the family's 1533-position model. The record is from RNAcentral. Lineage: Bacteria; Pseudomonadati; Pseudomonadota; Gammaproteobacteria; Pseudomonadales.
CGGACGGGUGAGUAAUGCCUAGGAAUCUGCCUGGUAGUGGGGGACAACGUUUCGAAAGGAACGCUAAUACCACAUACGUCCUACGGGAGAAAGCAGGGGACCUUCGGGCCUUGCGCUAUCAGAUGAGCCUAGGUCGGAUUAGCUAGUUGGUGAGGUAAUGGCUCACCAAGGCGACGAUCCGUAACUGGUCUGAGAGGAUGAUCAGUCACACUGGAACUGAGACACGGUCCAG